Molecule: long non-coding RNA, 11948 nt
Organism: Taeniopygia guttata (zebra finch)
Lineage: Eukaryota; Metazoa; Chordata; Aves; Passeriformes; Estrildidae
Source: RefSeq, a predicted model, not a curated record
UUUUCAAGCUGUUGGAAGAAAAACAAUCCACAGUCAUAGCCUUUGGCAAACUGGGUAGAGAUAAAUUAUUGCUAACCACUCCUUUCCCUUUUAUUCCGUCUUCCCCUUAGAAACAGAUUAGCUAACAGAGAAAUGAAGGACUCCCCGGGCCUCUAUCAGGUGGGAGGUAAAUGCACUUCUUCCCGGGUGACUGUUAUUUACAAACCAAGCUAAAAUUCUAGGACAGAAAACAGUUGGUUUGUGUGGGAGGAGGAACAAGCAGCAGCAUGACUGUGCUGAGUCAAACCCUCUGACUUCUCAUACGGGCUGUGUCCCACCAAAACUCUGGGCAGUUUGGCUGAGUGAGGAUCUGAGGGUCAGGUCCGACUCUGAGGAGCUGUAGGGUUUUGCAUUUCCCUAUACCCUUGAAGGGAGCAGCACUCAAAGCUGAGUGGCAGCUUGUGAGCAGCUGGUGGGACAGGGAGCUGAGCAGUGCUUUAGAAGACCAAGCAACUGUUUAAUUGCAGGUCACGCAGUAGCGAUGGUUCACAAAUUCUAAAAUAUAUCAUCUGGGUGAAAACCAGAGGCAGAGAGAAAUUCUGAGAUGAUUCAAAGCAGCCUUAUCUCAGAAUGAGGGUUUCAUCCCUCAGGGACCAGAAGCAAACAAAGGAUUACAUUUCAGACCCUGAGACUGCUGUGCAGAUGGGAGACAAAGUGAGUGGGAGGCUGGCACAGCAGCCUCACCUCCUGCUACUGCACACACCAGAGGAGAUCGCUUCCCCUACAGUAUUGCAGUGUGGUUCUAAGCAUUUUGCUUUUCUUUCUCAGACUCUCAUGGUUCUCUUUUUUAAGGAGUAAAUAAUUGCCACUUGGAUUUUAUAAAAAAAACCCAUAUUGACUGACUUUGUCAUAGCUGGAAGAGACUGGUACAAAACAUAUAGUGUUGUAAAUCUGUCAAAACAGAAAAAAAAUAUACAUGACAAUGUGUCAUUUUUCUGUCAAGCAGUCAGUACUCCUGGAGGAAAAAAAAAAAAGGAUUUUAGGUGGAUCCAAGCUGGGAAACUCAUCUCCAACUCCAGACUCCAAAUGCUGGGCCUGUGACUCACCACCUCUGUGGGAACUGGGGCACAUGAAAGGACCAAUCUAAAAAAUUCAUAACUUCCCAAAGCAUGUAGUUGGUAGGACCUGGAGCUGUUUUGAUUUAGAGCUUUAACCUAAGAGACAAGAAAGCCACAUUCCCAAGUGAAGAAGGAAACCUCUAUAUUAUAGUGAUCAAUGAAAAGAUAAGAAUGAAGGUUUAGAAACAUUCCUGUUUUGAUCAAAUGAACUAUGGUAUGACUUUUUUUUUUUUUUUUAAUGUGCUAUAAAGAUAAGCAAAUGAGUGUAACUCUUGGGUGUGAAAGAUUUUUAAAGUAAUGUUUAACAUGCCAAGAACUGCAAACUCUUCACACAGAAACACAUUUGCUCUACUUUAACUUCAAAACAAGUCUCUCCUUGUAGAGAGGAAAAUAAGUCAAGGGCGCUUGUAUUUUGCUGAUGCUGUAGCUUACAAUUACUGCAAAGGGCUUUUCUAAAAUAUGUUAUGGUUAUCUGCUGCUUUUUGUGCUAAGUCCACUGCUGCAUCAUUUCUUCAUAUCUAGUUCUGGUGCAUCACCUCACUUUUGAAUCCCCCCUCAUACCAUCUGUUUUUUCUCUAUCUCAUUUUAUUUCCAAGAUUUUGUAUUUUACAUCAAAGGCAAGCACAGCUAUUUUAAGGGGCUCACUACCUCUGUCUUCAAGUCUAACUCCUAUUUAGUUCAUUUCCCCCUCCCUCACUCUCAAAUUCUUCUCCUAUUUCUUUCUUCUGUAGCACUUUCCAUAGUCUCAAGUUAAUGGCCAUGCUUAAACAGUGCUGGGACUGCAACGUCCAAAUGUGAGCAAACUAUUCAUCAGGAUUUUUCUGGCAGGAACUUGCUCAUCAGGGAGAGCUGGUCCUGCUUGCUUCUGCUUGCCAGACCUUACUGCUCAUGGCUCCAAUGGCCUCAUGACAAAGAGCUUUAGGGCUGCAUUGGCUCUCUGUGGGACUUGACAAGAUCCAUGGAUUAUUGUUCCAGCUCUUUCCCUCUACUUGCUCUUCUUGCUAUGUCCCUGCACUGCUAGCCUGUUAAGGAGUUACAUUUUGAGAUGGAGUCCCAGGACUGUCAUAGAAAUACCUAGGCUCUGUCUUGCUGGAUGGCUGGCAGGUGGUCACACUGAGUUUGACACUUUCAGGAAGAAUUCAUCAUUAAAAUGAAAGAACACUCGCUAGAACAAAGAGCAGUCAUCUUGAAUAUCAUUAAUUGCCAUUUAGACAAAAAGCAAAGAUGAGUCUGUAAAAGCUCAGACCUGAACUGAGUCUCAGUGAGAGAAGAAGUUGUCUCACUUGUGCAAAACCAACGAUGACAAUCUUGACUGUGCAGUCACCACUCGCUAAGUGAUUGCUAUCUUCUCUUUUGAAGGAAACAUCCAUUGGAGAAGGUCAAGAUCAAAAUAAUCUGCUUGGGGUAAUGGGAGAAGGGAUGGUUUCCCACAUAAAGGCAAGAGAGAGUACCAAGCCAGGUCACAGCUGGGGUAUUGAAAACCUAAUGUUCAAUUGCACAGUGACGAGAUGACACCAAGUGGUGGUUUCUUCGUUUUAUCAGUAGGAUGAUUACCCAGUUCAUGUCCACCACGUGUUUAUUUAUCUUCCCUAACUCUGUCCUUUCUCUUGUGAAUUUCUCAUAGGAUUUAGACUUCACACUUUCUGCACAAAGGUGAACUUCUUGAAAUCUCAAGGGAUCUUAAGACGCUAAACAACAUGGAAAACAACUUCAGAUCCCAAUAGUUCCUGAAAUUCUUCAAAAGAACUGAUGCAGCCAUGUCUGAGACUGUGGUUCAAAAAGGUUAAAAAUGCCUGCACAACAGUAGGACAUGCCAAUGACUUGUUAGACAGCUCACUGUUCAUUGUUAAGUAUCUCCAGAUGACCAAAAUCUGGUCCCUCCUUGUGACCAAGAGUUCCCCAGACCCAACUUCUGUUUCAGGCCAAGAACAGAGUCCUGCUCUUGCCAGUUCCAGGAGGAUCUGACCUUUCUGGCUUCCUUGGAGCAGUGUCAAGUCUGAGUAUUCCACAACAAUUGGCUCCUCUCCAUGCUGCAGGAUUCUGAAGAUGACUUACAUUAGAUGUUGGAUAGAGAAGGUUUCUUUACAUCUCAGAGGCUGGAUGCUUCUAAGGUGAAAAAUUAUUGUCCCUUGGUCUAAGGUAAGUUGGUCUGUGCAACUCUGAUCUUUUCACCAGCAAAGUUAUAACCUGAGAUCAAGAGAGCAUAGAGAAUUAAAUAACCUUUGAGUCCUGUGUGCUUGAAACUUCGGAUUUUGGUGGAUUUUCGUUGGUUUUGGUUUUUUGUUUGGGGUUGGUUUUUUGUUGGUUUUUUUUGCCCUGAACAUUUUAUGCAUAACAAUCCCUAAUUCAUAGCACAUGAAAUAGUUAAGCAGAAUAGUAUGUGUUCUGGUGAGGUUAACUCCAGGAAGCCACAGGUUGAAGAAUGGCUUCAGAAGUAGUCAGGCAAAAUGCUUGAGAAAGAGCCGUUUCUGUUAAAAUAGAUCUGUUAAGAGUUCAUGCCCUGUUUUGUCAUUUCAGGAUGCCAGAAUGGUGGUCUGCAAUCUUCUCCAAGUGGCCAUGAGCUGAGGAAGAAUCUUAAUUGAUUAAGAUUCUUAAUCUUGCUGAGAUGAGUGAUGCAGUCAUUUGAGCCAGCUUGGUGGUGUUAGAAAAGACACAGAGCACAGAUUUAAUAUAUAAGGCUGUUUGGUUUUUUGGUUUUUUUUUUUUAAUGUACCAGUGGCAAUUAACCAGAGGGAGAGGUUAUAGGAGAAAUAAUAAAUAUUACCUGUCUUUCAUUGCCAGUCACUGUAGUAACUGAAAUCCCACAGCCAGUAGGAAGCAGUGGUAUAACCUGGCAGUCCUUUUCAGGAAAAAUUAAGUCCAAAAUGAACUCUGAACUGUCUUUACCAGCAGCCAGAGAAGGUCAGUGUCAGGUACUGCCCAGUCACCAAAUGGUGCUCCUCCCUUCAGAGAGCCCAGUUACAGCCAGUGGCAGCUGGCUGUGGAGCACAGCACAUGCAGAGCUGUCCCUGAACACUGACACUGAGAUGACCAACCUUUGGAGGCACUGGGACACAGAGCAAAAAGAAAUGCCCUGUUUAAAAGCUGUGCAUUGGACAAAACCUUUCUCAUCCCCACAGAGGAUGACAUACAUCCUGAUGUAUGCCAUCCUAGGGAAGCCAGUGGAGGAAUUUCUGCCAUGCCCACAGAGAGGCAGUCAUUAAACCACAAACUUUCUCCAACCCUACAGUCACGUACGUGGCAAUGAGCCUGACUAAAGCUCUGUCCCACUGCUGCCUCCGUUCCCAGGGCCUAAGCUAACAAGCUGAAAAUUUAAGGCUAAUAUCUGCACUGCAGCACACUGCAGGUGCUUUGCUGGUAUCCCCAAGAUCUCUUCUCUUAUUGUCUUCGUUUCAGUAAGGCCACUGGGGGCAUAAAAUUUGAUUAAGGGAGUGAGCAGAUUUAAUCCAGGGUAGUGAUACCUCCCUGCACUGAGCAGCCGCUCCUCUCAGAGCUGCCACAGCCAGCCCUGAUGCUCAUUAGCAAAGCAAAACUUCUAGAACACUGGUUCUAGGGACUCAUGUCUUAAACCUGGGUUGGUAAAAUUUCUCUGCACUCUCUCCUCUCCAAGUGAGGGAGCCAUCAUCAACCACAGUCCCUAUCUGGUGUAUGGUCAGGAUUUUUGCCUCAUGUAAUCACCUAAAUGAAAAAAAAAUCAUAAACCAAUUUCAGUUUUAGUUCAUUUACACUAUAAUCUCUACCUUGGUGACAAGAGGAACUUAAAACUGUUCUCACAGCAUGGCUCCAAUGCUUUUGUGAGUGCUGUAUAAUUAGAGCAAUGUUUAACCUCCCACUUGUGUUUCUGGAAAUUUAAACUACUUAACUAACUUUUCCUUGUUGGUCCUUUCCUCCCUUCCUCCCCCUCUGCCUUUUUUUUUUUUUUUUGGACAAAAUUGCCUUUGGCAUUGGACACAAUGUUCUAUGUAAAUUAGAGCAGUACUUUAAAUGUAUGAUGAAAACUGCUACAAAAAAUAUAGAAAAACAUAAUGUUGUCUUACUGUCUUGUUAGGGCAGAACGUGAUGAUACUUAGAGGUGUUGUGAGUGAACUCAAGUCCAGAGCUGCCUUUCCAACUCUCUGUCUGGCCACUGGUUUAUGUAAAAUAAAUGUAACAUGUUCAUUUCCUUCAUAAGUUACUCUAAUGCAGAAGUUAAGCAUUACUUUAUCUGAGUUACACAUAGGCUUUCUAAUGAAUAUUGACCCUAUUGAUAACUGGGAUAUUUUUCUUUUAUACAUUGAAAUUUUAAUAUUAUACAGUCUGUAAUGUGGAUGUAGUAGCUAUGCCUAGGCUGAGUACCCUGUGAUGAGAUCCUGGUUUCCAUCCACAGGGUCUCCAGGUUGGGAUCAGAUCCUUGGGCAGGAUCAGAGAUUGGCAGCCCCCCUCACCUCUCUGCUCUGGCCACCCAGAUGGGGAAAGCUGGAACAAGGACUGGGGUCACUCACUUUAUGUUUGUGCUACCAUAGAAGUGGGUUGCUGCUAGGCUCAUAUCUGGCCUAUGGGGUAGGGAAUUACUUCCAAAUCCAACAGCUCAGCUGUAGCCAAAUGUCCCAAAAUAAGUAGAUUUAUUCACUUUGAGACAUAACAAUAAUUUUUAUAUACAUAAGUGCUUUUGUACAGCUGUGAAUUUGGGGAGAGUGGGGGGUGAUGAGAGAAAUGGUCAGUGCAUUGCUUCAGUGUAGUUGAAGUCUCACAACUUCAGCAUGUUUCACAAAUCUAACAUACCUAGCUCAACAGAGGUGUGAGAAUAUUACACUGACAAUGUGUAUGAAGGUCUGACUAUUCGUGAUCAUUACUACUAGAAAUUUGUAAUCUCAUAUGAAAUACAGAAGCUGUGUCGUAUUUCAGUCAUCCAAUAUUAUUGGAAAAAUUUGCUUCACCUGUGUGUUCAUUAGGUAUUCUGAAAAAAAAAUGAAAUAACUACUAAAGUGUUGCUUUGAGAAAACAAUCUAAUAGAUAUACAAAGUUCAGGAUAAUAAACAAUUUGUCAGAAAUAGUAAGAAAAUUAAUCCAGUGUUCAAGAACUGAAGAUGAGAAACCUGCAAAACAAAGUGAAAUUAAAAAGUGCUCUUAGUAGUGAACAGCUUUUGAAUCUAUUUUAUUCUUAUUAACAAGUAAACCCACUGAAUAUUCAGAAUUAAUUCAUCCUACUGAAUAUUUUUUUCAUUUUUUAAGGAUAAUAAAGUUAAUUAAUGGGAAAACAUGGUGAAAUCAUCAUAGGUCCUCUGGUAUCAACAGAGAAGCUCAUUUGUGUAAUCUGAAGGUGUAUUUGAUGCUGCAAAUUCAAAUUAAUGUUUAUGACAGUGCAGCCAAUGCCAGUGCCUGAGCUGAAGCAUUUAUUCUUGCAGGCUCAGAAGGGAGCACAGCUGAUAGAACCUGAAAGCUGAAAAGUACAAUGUUUUGAGCAAAGGAACCUGGAAAGCUUAGGAACAUAUGAUGAAAACGUUAGAAUUAAAUUAAUUUACAAAAAGUGUAGGUGGGUGCAGCUAAGGCAAAAUAGUCUGUAGGACUGGGAGGCUGUGAAGAUCAACAACCUUCAAAAAACAUUGCAUCAAAAGAAAUACCACAGAGCUGCUGUUGAAUAGAAACACUAAUUAAUGAACUUUGAAUAGAAUAAAACCACAAAAAUUCCCCAUGAAUUCUGUAUUCCCCACUCAAAAACACCACACCAUGGUGCAGAGAUCAAUAGGUCUUUCCUAUGAAUUCAGUUUAAUAGUAAUUAGGACAGAUGGAGGUUUUUCCUUGCUUUCUGUAAUCCUCUGUGGUUCUGAUAGAAAAUUAUUUGGGCCACAAUGUUUUUUACCAAAAAGAUAUUGACAAGCUGAAAGCUGUAUAGUGAACAGCAUAAUAAAACACAGGGGACAUAGGACAGAUUGCAUGAGAUAUAACUAAAAUAUCUGAAUAUAUUCUGUUUUUUUUCAAGCAUCUCAAAGGCAUUAGCACCAAGGCUGAAAGGUAUUUCACAUGGCAUAGAGAUGUCUAACUGAGACCUCAAAAUGAAGCUAAAAAAAAGGGCCAAAUUAUACUUCACGACCAGAAUAUUUCCUAGUCAAUAGCUGUAUCAGAGAAGAAGCAAAAUCCUUAUGAACAUAAAAGCCUGUUGCCCUGGAUAUUUCCCAAAAAGUGUGCAACCCUUGCAGGGGUUGUGGUCAAUGAGACCCUUCUUCCACAACAACUUGUCAGAUUAUCUGGUAUACUUGAGAAUAAAAUAAACUCCCAAGAGUUUAAAUAGGGCUUAAAGAGCCAUCAGACUUGCCUUAACAUGCCAGCAUUUUGAGUGCUUUACCCUGUAGCAAACUUAGCCAAGUUGCCACAGGAAGCUUAGUCAUGAGGCCUCGUUUGUAAUGUACAGCUCUCCCUAAUGUGCUGCUGUAGAUAAAGCAGCCUGUAAAGCCUGUGGGUUUUUUGGGUGUAUCUGAAAGUUUCCAUGGUAAUGAAUGUGCAGAUUCAGAAGAAAAGAGCCCUGAAACUCCAAGCUGAUGCUUCUGGGGUUUUUUAAUAUGAUAAUAAAAUAUUAUGAUUCUAUAUUUUGAUGAUUCUGCAUUUCUAACCAUCUCCAGCACUGUACAGAGAAUGGAGAUGAACAUUGGUGAAAAAAAAUGAUGCUAAAGACAGUUUCAAGAGUCUGCAUCUACUUGCUUGCAGGUGGGACCUGAGGGAAACCAUAGCAUGUGUGGUGAUUUAUAGCAUGUUGGAGUGGUGAAGCAGGGCUGCUAAGGAAAACCUGGAUUUACAAACUGCUGGAGUGCUGGUGAAUGAAACUGAGACCAAAUGGUGGUGAUGGGCAGUUGGUGAUACGAUGGACAAUUGUCUACUGCUCAAAUUGGGCUGUGUGGCCACAGGGAGCUCAGGUUGCUGAUGGAGGACGUGCCCUUCCCUGAGCCACAGUGCAAUUUUGCCAGGCCUCUGGACGCAUCAGCUCUGGCUGGAAGGAGAGGGAAGCCUGAGGGGCAGACACAGGCAGAGAAGCCAAAAUAGCAAGCGUCAUGCUCAGCAGAUCUGAAAAAUUCCCCUGCUUCUUGAAGCUGUUCUUAUCUGGGCAGCCACCACAAGCAUUUGCGGACCCGUUGACAGGUUGGAGGUACACCAGAGGUGUUUCUCAGGAGCUCAUGUGGAUAAAGAUUUUUUUUCCAAACUGAAAAAAAAUAUUCUAAGCAUGGUCAUGCAAAAAGCAGGAGGUUCAGCUUUCCCUGUGCUCAGGAGUUUCUCAGCUUGUGUCCGUCCAUGCUUUUCUGAUUAGAAUCUGCUAUUGCAUUUGCUUUUGCCCCCUAAUAGUAUGCCUGUGUUGGACUCCCUUGGAAUUUCCAGACAGACAAUUGGUGAUCUGUACCCUGAGAAUCUUCAGCACUUGUUCCAGUUCAGAAAAAAGGGGCAUAUUGUUCUGACUGGAGCAUAGUAACAAAUAGUUUGUACUGCUCCUUACACUGCCUGUGUACAAUUUGCCUUUCAGGGUGCCAAAACUGGCUGCUGCACAAGCGCUGUAAAGCCACCAUGACUGCCCCUAAUGUAUGAUGCAUUUUGUGGAUUUCUUCUGAUCUGCAAAUCAGAGAGGCAGGUUGGAUUGAAUGAACAUCGUUGCUAUAUGCCCACAAAUUGCAUAGACUCUCAGAGACAUACACAGAGCUAAAACGCUUUGCACUACUCAGAGCAGUGCAACAGCAUCUCUGGUUGCAGUGAGCAGCACUGCCCAAAAUGCUGUGUCAGUGGAUCACAAGCAUCUUUCCACCGAGUCACUGCACAAUCUUCCCUGGGGCAGGGAGCAAGACUGUUACACAUCUGCUGCUUAUCAGAGGGAAAUGAGCACAGAUCUGGAAGAAAUGAGGUGAAGUAUUUCGGGUUUUGCAACAGCUUGCUUGUUUUCUCCACCGUGUUUGUGUUUGCUCAGAGGGGACAGAAUUUGCACUUCUUGCUUCUGAAGAGCUGAACUUCACUAUUGUUUGCUGAAUGCAAAACUAUGCAGAAUCUGAACAUCUUUCAGAAAUUACAACAGAAAAAAGAUUCAUGCUGUUAUUUUGAGAUGCUGUUUGUUCCUACACCAAAUCCUGCUGGUUUUAUUUACAUGUGCCUUUUUGUGAUCUGCAAAUCCCACCAAAUAAACAUCUUCUGUGCUCCCUCAGCUGGGUCUGCGGCCACAGUUUAAUAACAAGCAUGGGUUAGCAAGGGCUGUGCACAGCAGAGGUGUCUUGCCAUGUAAAGCACACAGGAUAAUGUCAUCUCUAUGCAAAAUUACAAAAAGGAGAAAAAUGCUGGCUAAAUGGAAAAAGAAGAUAAAAUUAGUACAAGAAAGAGGACAUAUUUGCAAAGUUGUAGGCAUUUAGAAAUAAAAAUGUAAAAGCUGCAAAAAAGUUAUUUAGUGUCCUCUUCAUCACAUCUGCACAAUGUUUAAAGUAUUGUUUGAAACAAGGGGCCAUAAGCAAAUUUCCCAUCUUUAAUGGCAUGCACCACAUUUGUCCCAUCAUUAGACAUGAUAAACCAAUGAGAAAAAGAAAGCAAGGGGUAAAACCACUCUUUGUCAUGCAGCUUCUCUUACACAUUCACUGCAGGGAUUUUUCAAAGCUGCACAUGUGCCGACGGACACUGGCUGGUGGGCGAGAACUCUGGCUGCCUCUUCCUGAAGAUUGAAAAGAAAAAGACACCCAGUGAGUGGCUAUACACAUGUGCACACAUGGUGGCUAUACCACUCAAUAGGUGCCUGUCCCUGACCUAUGUCUGUGGGCUUUCCCAUCUUUCAUUCUCUUGUCACCUCAGCUUCCACACAGAUUUCUCUUUGGCUCCAGCACGAUACUGGUUAAAAAUUAUUUUCACGAUGUUCAUUCUGCUUCCUAUGCUGAGCCUUGAUGCACUUUACAUACCAGAUGGCAAGGGCUGCUGUGCAUCUAGCUGUCAGAGGAACUUCGCCCCUGGUAUUCUCAACAUAGGAUGAAAUGAUAAAAAAAGGAGCAUCUGCCCCUCACAUCUUAUUUACAAAAGCAUCACCAAAAUUUUUUGCUGGUAGAAUUUUUAAUAUGCUGCUGGUUUUUCCUUUGUCUCUCUUCCCCUAAUAUGUUUUUCUAAAUGCUUCUUUUACUUUUGGAGCUCUGGCUGAAUAGUCACUAGCUUGCAUUAUAUGUGAUUUCACUAUGGUGCUUCUUCUUUUUUUUUUAAGGAAGCAUUGGAUUUAUUGAGGUAGACACUAAAUUAAUAGUCUCCUAAGCACUCUAUCUGCAAAGGUAAUUCAAUACAGAAUUGCAGAUUGCAAUUUGGGCUGUUAAUAUGGGAUGAUUUCCAUUUAAUUUCUCUUUUCUUCCUUGCCCUGUCAAGCAGAUUCAAAUUCUCAUUUGUCUUCCCCAGUAUCAAUAAAACUAAUAUACACACAAGCGCAUGCUUUGACAAAAAUCUCAUGUAUUUUUGCACAUGGAAUGUAUCACUGAAUUUCUGAAAAAAAAAAAAAAAUCAUCAUUGUAUUGCAAAGAAAAUGCAAAUUGAAAUUCAGCAUUUCUCCCCAUCAAACAGUCAUAGUGCAUGCUUGCCAGACUUCUGUGUACCUCCAAAUGACAGAUUCAUGGAUGGUGUGUGCAUGUGCUACAUACUCAGCACAUGAGCUGAACAAGCCAUUCCUCUCACCACGUACUAAAGCGCAGGAGCACAGCAUGAUGUACACAGAACACAUGCAUACCCAUUUGGGAGCAGUAGAUGCCUUGAGAUGACUUCUGAACUAUUAUGAAUAAAACACAAAUAAGACAUUCUGCUGAACAAUUUUGCCAACCUGAUUACUUUGAAGCCUCUAGAAAAUUAAAUUCAUUACCAGGUAUAAUGAGAUCACUGAGAUUUGAAAAUUUAAAAGUGAUCAUGACUAGGAACUUAGCUAGCAUGGUCUCUCCUCUACCUUAUUAAAGUCACAGGGAUUAUUAGGCUUCUGAUUAGACAGAAUAUUCAGCAUUUCUACAGUCUUCCAUUUUUCUUAAUCAAUUGAGAGAAUAAGAGCUUUCUACUUCCUGUGCUUUUUAUUCAGUCACAAGAACAAAUUUUACAAAACAAGUAGCAACACACUGAGAGAUUAUCUGAGAAAAAAACCUAGAGCUAAAUGUAUUUCACACACAUGCAGUGUUGUACACUCAACAGAGGGCACACAGCCACAGACAGCCCUGCUUAGGACCAUGGAAAAGGUGGAAGACUUUUGUUUCAGAACACGGCUUGGCUGAGUCAACAGGCUUUAGCAGCUGUCAUUCCUCAGCCAUUUGCUGUCACUUAUGGGUUGCUUAGCUGCACCCCCUUUGUACUUCUUCUUAUUCAUAUAUAUCCCUGUAGUGAGUUCAGAGCAGUUUGCUCUCCAAGCUUUGGACAUUUGUUGGUCUUGAUAAGAAAUCCUCCUAAGUGAAAGGAAGAAAGAAGCCUGCUUCCUCAAGCAGUUCAAAAUGCCUCAAAACUCGUUCAAAAUACAGCAAACUCUUUUACUACGAUUGCAGCUGUGCUCCUCAGCCAAAAUCAGACACAAAUGUUACAUCUGAGAGAGUAUGUAACCCCCAGAUGCCUGGCCAGAUUUGCAUUCUGGAGGAGGUUGUUGUCGUUAACGUGCUGCCAAGAUCCAUCAAAGCAGUGGUCUGCCUUUUGAUCAAGGUCAAGGGUGAUCCCCACAUGGUGAUGCACAGCAUACAUAGCAGAAAUCACCUAAAUCUCAGGGUUCAUGCUUCAGUAGAAUUUGAAUUUAUAGUGAAAUUUAGAUUUAUAGUAUGGGAAAUGUAGUACAAGUGUUGGUAGUAUUUCAGUGAAUAACUUUCCAAUUAUCAAAUCAACGUCAACUGUGUAAAUAAUAAUAAACAUUUUUGAUGCAUUGAA